Molecule: long non-coding RNA, 950 nt
Organism: Phyllostomus hastatus (greater spear-nosed bat)
Lineage: Eukaryota; Metazoa; Chordata; Mammalia; Chiroptera; Phyllostomidae
Exons: 3
Source: RefSeq, a predicted model, not a curated record
GGGAAGAGCAACGGAAGUCGGAGCACCUUCCUGUCCCUCCCAGUUCGGGACCCCACUGGGUACCCUGCUAGGCAAGGGGAGCUGCUGGGAGGGCUGGCGGUGGCCUGGAGGAAACGAUUCCCCCCCGUCGCGGGGUUGGGUCCGGGAAGAGUAAAGCAGGUAAAUGAGGUUUGAUUUAUAAUUUUUAAAAGCUCACUACAAAUGGUCAUGUGGAGUGUAUCCAAGCCAGUGAAAAGCAGGAAAUCAAUCAGGAAGCUACUGCAGUCCAGGCAAGAGGUGGUGAUGGCUCUACCUGGGGUGGUAGAAAUGGACGUGAAGACAUGGGGGAGAGUAAACUACAUGGCGAGGGGAGAGCAAAGUUUAAGUUGAAGCAGAAGAAAAAUUUCCAAAGUACUCCCUCUAAAGAAAGAUAUUCCGGGUUGACAAGUAGCCCUUCCAGGGGUGAUUCAGAGUCAGCCAUCCUCCAUUUUGUGCUCUAACAUCCUAGAGCCUCAUGAUCAUCUGCACCUGAGGAAGGGGGAAGCCUGGACAUACACUCACUCCAAAGUUCUAGCCUGGAAGUGACACCAUAACGUCCACUCGCAUUCCACUGGAGAGAAGUUGGCUACCCCUUCCCCACUGGGGAUGGGGAGUAAAGGGCUGGGAACUGCAGUCUAGCCAUUUGUUCUAUGAGCCUAUAAUUUUGCAAGUUGAGAGCAGAUUUUGGUGGACAGCAGAAGUCUCCACUAUGUGUUGUUUCCAGUAUCUAUUAUGAACUGAACUGCAAUAGUCAUUCUUGUUUGAGUCCCCUGGUACACCUGAGCAAGAGGAGUUUUUCUGUCCAUACCUGGGAAUGAGAAUGCUCAGUCUGAGGGCCUAUUUUCAACUGUACCAGAGAUGCUGCCAAAUCAUCUUCAAAGUGAUUGUACGAAUUCACAUUCCAAAUCACACAUCAGAGUUCAUGGCUCCAA